CUCUUCUUCUCUCCUGAUCACACACUGCCUGCAGCUAUGGAGAAGCAACUGGAGGAGCUGAAGCAGCAGCUGGAGAAGCAAUGUUUGAUCAACCAGGAGCUGCAGAGGCAAAACAAAGACCUGGAACAACGACUGCAGGAAAAAGAAAAACUUCUGCAAGAGCUGCACAGCCAGUAUCAUGAUCUGGAGUUUCCCUCUCAGAGCGGUAAUGAGAUUGAACCGGAGGUCAGGAAGAGCCGAGCUGCUGUCAUUGCCCCCGAACCAAUCCCUGAGACCCUGGAGAUUACACGCACCAGGGUCAAGAAGACUGUCAGCGAGACGAGUCUGAUUGUCAAAGCGAUCCAGAAGAACGAUUUCCUGAGCCGCCUGGACGACGAGCAGAUAGCCAUGAUGGUGGAUCUUCUAAUGGUUUCCAACUCCAAACCUGGAGACGAAAUCAUUAAAGAAGGUUCUGAAGGAGACACGAUGUACAUAGUGGCAGCUGGUGAACUCCUCGUCACGCAGGCCGGCCGAGACCUCCGAACUCUAACCAGUGGUGAUAUUUUCGGAGAGUUGGCCAUUUUGUACAACUGCAAACGGACCGCAACAGUCAAAGCAAAGACAGCGGUGCAUCUGUGGUUCAUGGAGCGACAAACCUACAGAACCAUCAUCACCAACAAGUCCAAGAAGAAACGAGAGCAACUCAUGGGCUUCCUGAAGACGUCUCGCACCCUGAAGGACCUGAAUGACGUCCAGUUGUCCAAAAUCAUUGACUCCAUGGAGGAGGUGAAAUACCAGGACAAAGACGUUAUAGUUCGAGAAGGAGCAGAAGCAAACACUUUCUACAUCAUCCUCAAAGGAGAGGUCCUGGUGACAAAGAACGUGAAUGGGCAUCAGAAGCAGAUCCGCAGGAUGGGAAAAGGGGAGCAUUUCGGGGAACAGGCCCUCAUACGGGAGGUCUUGAGAACUGCCACCUGUGCUGCUGAUGGCCCUGUCACCUGCUUCUCCAUCGACAAGGAGGUGUUUGAAGAGACAAUCCCCAUUGAGCACCUGGAGCUGUUUGAUGACUCUAAAGUGAUGCAGGAGGCUCAAGCUCCUGAAAAAUCAAGUCCCAUCUCCACCCUGAGGUUUAAGGAUCUGGUUCCUGUCUUAUAUCAAGAGGGUCGCUACCAAGGAGAUCCCGUCACACUUGGAGUUGGAGGAUUUGGUCGCGUGGAGCUGAUGACCACCAUGAAUCACGGGAAAUAUUACGCCAUGAAGAAAGUCAGCAAGAAGCACAUUGUCGCCAAAAGACAGGAGGAGCACAUGCUGUUUGAGAAGAAGAUCCUCAAAGCUAUUCAGUGCGACUUCAUUGUCAGACUUCACGGAGCUUUCAAAGACACGCGAUACAUCUACAUGGUCAUGGAGUUCUGUGGCGGCGGAGAGAUCUGGACCAAACUCAAAGAAGUUGGACGUUUUGACGAGAACAUCGUGGUGUUCUGCACUGCCUGUGUGGUGGAGGCCUACGCUUACCUACAUAAGAAGAGCAUCAUGUACAGAGACCUGAAGCCCGAGAACCUGAUGCUGGACGUGAAGGGUUACGUCAAACUGGUCGACUUUGGUUUUGCUAAGGAGUUGGUACGCGGUGAGAAAACCUACUCGUUUGUUGGCACUCCUGAGUACAUGGCGCCAGAGAUCAUCAAGAACCAGGGACAUGACUUUGCAGUCGAUUUUUGGUCUCUUGGCAUCCUGAUCUUUGAGCUGUUGGUGGGAAGCCCUCCCUUUUCCAGCUCAGAGCCCCAGAAGAUUUAUGCCAAAAUUCUGGACGGGGUGCUCAAGUAUCCACCUUACUUGAAUGAAGCAUCCAAGUCCAUAAUCAGUAAACUGUGCAGGCCUCGGCCGGGUCAGAGGUUAGGAAACACCAAGAACGGAAUCAAAGAUGUCCGGCAUCACAGGUGGUUCAGCAGCAUGAACUGGCACAAGCUGCGAGUGGGUCAGCUGGACGCCCCCACACUUCGGCUCAUCCGCAAGAUGUUCAGAGGGAGAUGAUGCCACAUCUGGUCCAGCUGAUGGAAGGUCUUGAAGUUCUCUGACUGGCCUCGACUGAAGAUGGUCGUCUCACUGGAUUUAAGGUUCAGAUGCUCAGUAACAAACUCCACCAAUGAGCCAACAGGGAAGCUUUAGAUUUAUUAAAUGUUGCUAUGAAGGUUUCGCUGUUUUUCUUUGUGAAUGCAAUGAGCUCCAACUGAAACUUGAAUUAGAACUUAGAAGUAAAUCCUUCCAUCUGACAGGAUUUAGUUGCAUUAAUAACCUCAUAACAUUCUAAUUUUUAUUCCAGUCUUGGUUGGAAAUAGAAUCUCUGUAUUGAUUCAGGUAAAAACUGAACUUCACAGCAUGUUGGAGCAAAACAACCAGAUGAAAACUGUGAUGGUGUUGGAUUGUCAGACCGUAAUGUUGCAGCUCAAAGCAGCUUUUCUAGCUCAGUUCAUUCUGACAUUCAGCUAUGAAUCAACACAGCAGAUGGUGAUCCAUGCUGUGGAAGUCUCACAUCUCCUGAUUUAAUGGAGCUGCUUUGCACUUUUUACACUGUUUAUUCACCAACACUUUAUUUAAUAAAAGUCCCAUCUAGUUUUUAUGAGGAAUGUGAUGUUUUAAUUUCUCUGUGAAUAACUGCAGUCUAAUGCAACAGCUGGAAUUGUAACAUCUGUCCUGAUAUUGAGCAUGAAGUAUUGAUCAGAAUACUUAUGGUCAGCAGUCAUCCCUGAAGUUUUACAUUAAAAUCUUUACUUGUCUUGUGAACUUUGGUAAGAAGCAGAAACUUUAGCGUUGCCAUGGAUACAUGAGUGUUAAAUUCUGUCCAUGUUUCCAUUUUGGGAAAUUCAGUCCAGCAGAUGAGUUUGUUUUUACUGCCAGAUACCAUUCAGUCUGAGAUAUUAACAAUAAAUAAAUGUGCAUAAUGUGGAAAUGAACAGAUUUUAUUUUUAUUUAUUCCUACAGCUUCUGCAUGGAAAGUUCCAGAAUGUGGAGGAAUUUAGUCUCACAAUCACAGACAAUAAAUAUUAUCUGAAAGUUAGGUUAUUGUUGUUUAUCAGCACAAUACAAAAAGAUUCAUGUUAGAAAUAUUCCAGUUAAGACUCUAGAAUAUCAGGAUUUAUGUAAAUUUACCUCAAUAAUAUGACUGUUCAGGGUAAGAUUGUGCAGUGAUAUUUAUUAUGUAAGUUUAGCUGAUUAAAAUUUAUGACUCUGCACUACAGUAUUAUUUAUUAUUUAAAUUGACAUCAUUAUUAUAAUAUUUAGGGGUCAGAAUCUACAGUAUUGAGAUUAAGAAAUCAAACAUUCUAUAAAAUGUAAAUACACUGAACUCAUUUGAAUAUAUUUAAGUGAGACUCUACAAUAUUAUUUGACACAAAUCUAUCUAAAUUUUAAUCAUUUUUACUCCAAACAUUUAGUGGACUGAUUUAAAUAUUAAAAUCACUCCUUUCUAAUCCUCUGCUGUACGUUCAAACCUGAGGCCUUAAAUAGAAACACACAAGUAUCUGAUUGAAGGAACUUCUGCAGAGUCCUGGUUCCAGAACAUGAUGAUAGAAUUAUAGACAAACUUUAACAAAAGCUGCCUGAGAGUUUACAGGUUUUUAUGUUGGAUUUCUUCAGUAAUUUAAUGAGUUAUCAGCAAUAAUCAAGUGUUCAUUUGAUGAACUUCAUUUCCUAAAACAUCCAGAAUUGGAGCUCAUAUCUUUGGCAGCUGUAAAGUUUCUGCUCCUUCAAAGUUCACAACACAAUGAAUGAAUUCCUGAAACACUCUCAAUGCUGGAGAGCGUGUGAUGCUGAAGCAGUGACCAGUUUUUCUGUUUCUUCUCUGGAGAUGCACAAUGAGGGACGUCUGCAGAGACUGAGAAAGAGUCUCACCACAUCCUGACAUGAGGAAAAAGACUUUAUUGAAGACUACAAUGAGAAAAACUAUCAGACAGCAGACGGCUGCAUUCAAGGCUACAGGAGGAGUCCUAUGAGGACGAGCCGGUCCACCUGAUGGUGGCCAGUCACUGCGGUUCAAAGCCAACACCGACUACGUGGACUUCUACUGGACCACAUGGAGGCCUUCAAACCGGACCAACAAGUUCAGUGACUCCCCGACUAGUGGGUCUGAGGACGCCGCCGAGCCUCAGCCCAGCCGGCCUCCUGUCUGUGGGUGUUUGAGUGCUGAGAGGUUUGUGGAUCCAUGUGAACGUUCUGUGUUGAAACAGCAGCUUUGGACUCAGUAACGCUGGGAAAAACCAAGAGCUCCUUUAUUUGUGACUUCCACUAAAGAAACUGAUGAAAAUAAGUUUGCCAGGGUUCUGACUGAUAAUUAAGAUUAUUAAAUAAUGAAAUUAAUCCUUUAAAUAUUCCUUUAAACUAUCCUUUUAGGUCUACAUUUCCUUUACACUGACUUCUUGGUAUAUGUACAAGUAUUUUGGGUGGAAUAUACCAAUAAGCCCAAUGUUCAAGGGUUCUUCUGGGAAUAUACCAUUAAACCAACCUUUUAGGUAAAUGUUCCAGGAUGUUGGGUAGAAUAUACCAUCAGAUCAACCUUUUAGGUCUACAUUGGAAGAUUUUAGAGUAGAAUAUUUCUCCAAACCAUCCUUUAGGUCUACAUUCAAGGUGGAAUACUCCUUUACACUAAGAUUUUUUGGUCUAUGUUGAAGGAUUUUAGGUGGAAUAUUCCUUUGAACGAACUUUUUAAGUUUAUGUUCAAGGAUGUUGGGUCGAAUAUACCAUCAGACCAACCUCAAGGUCUACAGCAGUGAAUUUUAGGUGGAAUCUACCAUUAAACUCACCUUUUAGGUCUACAUUGGAGGAUUUUAGGUGGAAUUUUCUCCCAAACCGUCUUUUAGUCUACAUUUAAGGAUGUUUAGGAUGGUAUAUUCUUCCAAACCAACUUCUCAGGUCUACAUUUCAGGUGGAAUAUUCCUCCAUACUAACUUUUUGUGCUCUGCAUUGAAGGAUUUUUUCUAAACCACCCUUUCGGGUCUAUAUUUGAGGUUUUAGGUGGAAUAUUCCCUUAAACCAACCUAAACUUCAUGUUUUGAUCAUUAUCAAGUGAGAAACCUCAAUCCAGACUCCUCAUAAUGACAUUUGAGAUUUAUGCUGCUGUUAUUUGUUUAGUCCAGACUAAAUGACAGAAAUCCACAACUGUAAUUUUAUUUCAGGACUCGGUUAUUAAAUGUCAAAACAAUCCAUGUGACUCUAAAAACUCAACAGCUUUACAAACUCUAAGAUUAAACUCUCCACAAGGAUCCAAAAUAAGUUGGACUUCUACUUUAAUUAUUCUUCAUCUACUUCCUGAAAAGUCUGGUCAAUAAAAAAGACAAAAACUAAUAUUUUCAGCUGAACUAAAGACAGACUUUGUGAUUUUUCUGCUCACAUGUUGUGUUGUUGUAAACUUCCUCUUUCAAAUAAAUAUCCUCCUAACCCCCUGGAAACCAGCGUUUGUCCUGUUUUUGUGUUGCUCCUCGGCGACCCUAGACAGCCGGGUCAUAAUGUUUUUUGAGCAACACACCAUACUAUGACGUUUUUACAAUGAUGGUUCUACUAUGGAACCAGUUUGACAUGUUCAGGCGUUCUUUGUGUAAAAACUCAGAGAUUUCAGGGAUCAGAAGGUGGUUUUCAACUUUCUUUGUUAACUUUCUGCUUCAACUUUAAACUAAAUUUCCUUGACUAAGCCAGCCCUUUGGACUUCCAGUAAGCUGUGUUCCUAUUGGCUGUCCAGGUGGCUGCUUGGUGUUAUCAGGAACACCUGAGCAGCUCCGUGUCUUCCUGCUUUAUUUAGCUGUAGACAAACAUUUCCUCUGCUUCACCUGAACUGGGUUUGGCUCUGUUGCUGUAGCUUGUUCUUUAGGCGUUGGCUUACAGCUUACAGCAGUAAAAUAGGCUUUAAUGUGUUUCUUGGUGUGUUUUAGGGCUUUGUACUGGAUAGUUGUCUUGGUAAAUGUGGUUCUUUAGCCACAGUUAGCACAUGGUACUAAUGUGUGCAGUGAUUAGUGGAUUUGGUGCAGCUGAGUUGUGUCUUUAUCUUGGCUGUAGUGAGUCUUUAGAGGUUUCUGGUCAGACACAUUCUGUAUUCUUGUUUGUGAACCAACAUUGGUUGUCCAGAAGGUAAGAGUUCCUGUCCUGAUUCUCUGUUCUCAGAGGUUCUCUGGUAGGCUGCAGGAGACUUUAGCAUUUGGGUUGUGCUAGUUUGGUUUUUGUACGGUUUCAUUUGGACGACUAUAUUGAGGCCCCUCCAUGUGGUUUAAUGAGGUUUUCUGGAACAGUUCUACAAAGCAACCUGCAGCAGAAGAGACUUUGAGAGUUUUUAGGAAGUUCUGGAGACCAGACUUUAGAGCAGCAGAAACAUUUGUCAGCAGUUUGAGCAGGAGAAGGUGAGCUUCAGAGUAGAAAUGAGACAGAAACCUUCUUGACCCGUGUGGUGAGGUCCUGUACCAAGAGUUUGAGCAGGUUGUGAAGAGUCUGUAGUUCUUUGGUCUGAAAGCACAAGAAGAGUCGACUCAUUAAAGGAGAAAACAGGAGAUAUUGUUGCUUCUUCUGUCGCUCUGCAGUUUCCAGUUUCCGUAGACUGAAUAUCGAGUUUAUAUUUUAAAUGAUUUCCCAUGUGAGCCCAAGAAGACUUCAAUAAACUCCCUCCAUCCCCUGGACACAAAAAAUUUUAUUACCAUGUUAAAUCUUUUUUUUAAAAAUAUGUUUGUGAGUUUCAAUCAUAGUUUUAGCAUAGUUUUUUUUCUCUUUGCUUGUUUAGUUUUGUCAUCUGUGUGAAAGGUGCUAAACAAAUAAAGUUGAAUUGAUAAACUGAAUAA
Molecule: RNA transcript, 6788 nt
Organism: Amphiprion ocellaris (clown anemonefish)
Lineage: Eukaryota; Metazoa; Chordata; Actinopteri; Pomacentridae
Gene: prkg3
Gene name: protein kinase cGMP-dependent 3
Exons: 23
Source: RefSeq, a predicted model, not a curated record